AGUCAAAUGUGCAAAACUCAAACUGCUGUCUGCACUGCAGCAGUUCACGUGGACCAAAACUCUAGUUCGUUUUUCAUUGCUAGAACACGGUUUUCAAAAUGCGACACUCUUAGCCCAUGGCUUUAACCACAACGGGCACAACAUUGCGGAUUCACACCACUUUGUUAAAAUGCUAACACACUGCUAUCAAAACUAUUAACAACACAUUCAUAACAAAAUAGAUUUCAGUCUGGUGCCAAUCAAAC
This is a long non-coding RNA of Etheostoma cragini (Arkansas darter), 245 nucleotides long. RefSeq lists it as uncharacterized. Lineage: Eukaryota; Metazoa; Chordata; Actinopteri; Perciformes; Percidae. The transcript has 3 exons. The record is from RefSeq and is a predicted model, not a curated record.